AGUGAACGCUGGCGGUAGGCCUAACACAUGCAAGUCGAACGGCAGCACAGUAAGAGCUUGCGCUUACGGGUGGCGAGUGGCGGACGGGUGAGGAAUACAUCGGAAUCUACUUUUUCGUGGGGGAUAACGUAGGGGAACUUACGCUAAUACCGCAUACGACCUACGGGGGAAAGCAUGGGAUCUUCGGCCCUUGCGCGAUUGAAUGAGCCGAUGUCGGAUUAGCUAGUUGGCGGGGUAAAGGCCCACCAAGGCGACGAUCCGUAGCUGGUCUGAGAGGAUGAUCAGCCAACCUGGACCUGAGACACGGUCCGGAUUCUUACGGGAGGCAGCGGUGGGAAUAUUGGACAAUGGGCGCAAGCCUGAUCCAGCCAUACCGCGUGUGUGAAGAAGGCCUUCGGGUUGUAAAGCCCUUUUGUUGGGAAAGAAAAGCAGUAGGUUAAUACCCCGCUGUUCUGACGGUACCCAAAGAAUAAGCACCGGCUAACUUCGUG
This 491-nucleotide ribosomal RNA is filed under the name uncultured bacterium. RNAcentral describes it as "partial 16S ribosomal RNA". It matches the Rfam family "Bacterial small subunit ribosomal RNA", at positions 29 to 507 of the family's 1533-position model. The record is from RNAcentral.